UCAAGCUACUAAGGGCAUACGGUGGAUGCCUAGGCGCCAAGAGCCGAAGAAGGACGCGGUAAGCUGCGAAAAGCCACGGGGAACUGCAAGCAAGUAUUGAUCCGUGGAUAUCCGAAUGGGGAAACCCGGCCAUCGUCAUGGAUGGUCACCCGCAAGGGAGGGAACCUGGGGAACUGAAACAUCUAAGUACCCGGAGGAAGAGAAAUCAAACGAGAUGCCCACAGUAGCGGCGAGCGAAGAGGGCAGAGCCCAAACCGAGAAGCUCCGGCUUUUCGGGGUUGAGGACCGGCAGAAUCGAAGUCAGGCCUAGUCGAAUUACCUGGAAAGGUAAGCGAGAGAGGGUAAAAGCCCCGUAGACGAAAGGCAGAGCAGAGAGGCCGAGAUCCAGAGUACCACGAAGCACGAGGAAUUUUGUGGGAAGCAGGGGGGACCACCCUCCAAGGCUAAAAACUACUUGGCGACCGAUAGCGCAUAGUACCGUGAGGGAAAGGUGAAAAGAACCCCGGGAGGGGAGUGAAAUAGUACCUGAAACCGUAUGUCUACAAGCAGUCGAAGCGAAAGCGACGGCGUGCCUAUUGAAGAAUGAACCAACGAGUUAUCUGCACUAGCGAGGUUAAGUGGAAGACACGGAGCCGCAGCGAAAGCGAGUCUUAAGAGGGCGCUAGUUAGUGUAGGUAGACCCGAAACCGCAGUGAUCUACCCAUGUCCAGGUUGAAGCGCAGGUAAAAUUGCGUGGAGGACCGAACCGGUGAGCGUUGAAAAGCUUUCGGAUGAGAUGUGGGUAGGGGUGAAAUUCCAAUCGAACGCGGAGAUAGCUGGUUCUCCCCGAAAUAGCUUUAGGGCUAGCCUGAGGUAGUAAGUAUAGGCGGUAGAGCACUGAUCGGGCUAGGGGCCGUAAAGGUUACCGAACCCUGUCAAACUCCGAAUGGAUAUACUGUAGAGCCUUGGAGUCAGACUACGAGUGAUAAGAUCCGUGGUCAAAAGGGAAACAGCCCAGACCACCAGCUAAGGUCCCCAAUGUCGUACUAAGUGGAAAAGGAUGUGGGGUUUCAUAAACAACCAGGAUGUUGGCUCAGAAGCAGCCACCAUUUAAAGAGUGCGUAAUAGCUCACUGGUCGAGAGACCCUGCGCCGAAGAUUCCCGGGGCUAAAGUACGAAACCGAAGCUGUGGCUGUAUACGUAAAGUAUACGGGGUAGGGGAGCGUUCCCAUAGGGUAGAAGUCGAACUGGAAGGUUCGGUGGACUUGUGGGAAGUGAGAAUGUUGGUAUGAGUAGCGAAAAGAAAGGUGAGAAUCCUUUCCACCGAAAGCAUAAGGAUUCCUGAGCAACGAUCGUCGUCUCAGGGUAAGUCGGGACCUAAUCCGAGGCAGAGAGCGUAGGAGAUGGACAACUGGUUGAUAUUCCAGUACCGGUAGUAAUUGUUUGAGCAAUGGAGUGACACAGAAGGGCAGGCAAGCAUGCGAAUGGAAGAGCAUGUGUAAGCGUGUAGGGUGGUGCAUAGGCAAAUCCGUGCACUGAAAGCCUGAGGCGUGAUGCGGAGUGAGCAGAGAUGCGAGCGAAGUUGUUGACCCCACACUGUCGAGAAAAGCUUCUAGUGAGAGAGCUACCGCCCGUACCGUAAACCGACACAGGUAUGCGGGGAGAGAAUCCUAAGGUGCGCGGGAGAACCCUCGUUAAGGAACUCGGCAAAAUGUACCCGUAACUUCGGGAUAAGGGUAGCCACUGUUGUGAAGUCCCAUGCGGAUGGAGCAUAGAGUGGUCGCAGAGAAGAGGCCCAAGCGACUGUUUACCAUAAACACAGGUGCCUGCUAAAGCGAAAGCUGACGUAUAGGUGCUGACACCUGCCCAGUGCCGGAAGGUUAAGGAAGGAUGUUCGGAUUAGUCCAAAGCAUUCGACUGAAGCCCCGGUGAACGGCGGCCGUAACUAUAACGGUCCUAAGGUAGCGAAAUUCCUUGUCGGGUAAGUUCCGACCCGCACGAAAGGUGUAACGAUUUGGGCACUGUCUCAACGAGGGACCCGGUGAAAUUGAAAUACCUGUGAAGAUGCAGGUUACCCGCGACUGGACAGAAAGACCCCAUGGAGCUUUACUGUAACCUGACAUUGGGUUUUGAUACAUUACGUACAGGAUAGGUGGGAGGCUUGGAAAGUUGGACGCUAGUCUGACUGGAGCCGACGUUGGGAUACCACCCUUGAUGUAUUGAAAUUCUAACCGCGAGAGUAACGAAAUCCGGGACAGUGUCAGGCGGGCAG
RNAcentral lists this ribosomal RNA (2251 nucleotides) under human gut metagenome. RNAcentral describes it as "bacterial LSU rRNA". It matches the Rfam family "Bacterial large subunit ribosomal RNA", at positions 3 to 2268 of the family's 2925-position model. The record is from RNAcentral.